AGAAGUGUGCCCGAGUCAAGGACUAUUUUGAUGAAAUAGCUACAGAGCAUCACAACUCUCACUUCCA
RNAcentral lists this transfer RNA (67 nucleotides) under Phrynocephalus frontalis. RNAcentral describes it as "tRNA-Ile". Lineage: Eukaryota; Metazoa; Chordata; Lepidosauria; Squamata; Agamidae. RNAcentral also lists the same sequence under 1 other name. The record is from RNAcentral.